Molecule: ribosomal RNA, 456 nt
Filed under: uncultured bacterium
Lineage: Bacteria
Description: bacterial SSU rRNA
Rfam family: Bacterial small subunit ribosomal RNA
Source: RNAcentral
UACGGAAGGCAGCAGUGGGGAAUAUUGCACAAUGGGCGAAAGCCUGAUGCAGCUAUGCCGCGUGUAUGAAGAAGGCCUUAGGGUUGUAAAGUACUUUCAUCGGGGAGGAAAAACAAAACUAAUAAUUUUAUUUCUUGACGUUACCCGAAAAAGAAGCACCGGCUAACUCCGUGCCAGCAGCCGCGGUAAUACGGAGGGUGCUAGCGUUAACCAGAAUUACUGGGCGUAAAGAGCACGUAGGUGGUUUUUUUAAGUCAGAUGUGAAAUCCCUGGGCUUAACCUAGGAACUGCAUUUUGAAACUGAAAUACUAGAGUAUCGUAGAGGGAGGUAGAAUUCUAGGUGUAGCGGUGAAAUGCGUAGAUAUCUGGAGGAAUACCUGUGGCGAAAGCGGCCUCCUAAACGAAUACUGACACUGAGGGUGCGAAAGCGUGGGGAGCAAACAGGGAUUAGAUACC